This 206-nucleotide long non-coding RNA is filed under the name Vigna radiata. RNAcentral's name for it is "long non-coding RNA (VRAD_LNC016660)". The record is from RNAcentral. Lineage: Eukaryota; Viridiplantae; Streptophyta; Magnoliopsida; Fabales; Fabaceae.
AGAUUUUGAGUUGAAAAGAAUUUCAAAGUGUUUUGACUUGUGUCAGUCGACAUUGUAGAUUGCAUAUUCGACUGUGUAUUGAUUUGUUUUGGAAUUCUGUUAAGCCUACACGCUCCAACGACUAUAUUUUUCAAAAGUUAGUUGAGCUUGUAUGACUUGGUCAACUGUAAUAAAUGCGUGUUAAUUUUUGGUUGAUUGAGAGCCUC